This 675-nucleotide long non-coding RNA is filed under the name Setaria viridis. Its description in RNAcentral is "long non-coding RNA (SVIR_LNC000054)". Lineage: Eukaryota; Viridiplantae; Streptophyta; Magnoliopsida; Poales; Poaceae. The record is from RNAcentral.
GAGCCACGAAAGGAUGAACACACAAUUUUUUAUUCAUUUAAUUAUUAAUUGUGAAAAUCCAUUCACAAGUUCACCCAAAGCUGUUACAAUAUUUGAACUAAUAGUAAUUCAAUCUUUGUGGCAGUUUGUGUUACACUCACCCUCGCUCACAUAGCAAGCGCUGUUUCCAACGCUACAACAAUAACAAUGAUCUCCACGCGGUCCUGCGCAGUCAAUGGUUUUGUAGCAGAAUGCACCAAUUCUCGUAACAUCCAUAGUUGAUCGGCCUAAUUUUCAAGCAUGAAAGUUAAUCCGGUUAAGGUUUAGAUAGAAAUGAUGAUAUAGAAUAAGCAUUAUAAGACAAUGUCAUGAAACGACUGCACUCAUUAGUGUCCGUCUCAUCAACUAAUACGGUGUGGACUUAAUUACAAGAAACAGAGAUAUAUUGUAACCAUAUGGCUUUCUGAACCGACAAGGUAGAAAUAUUAUCAGAUACUCGUUAACUUUUGGUUACAAUGGAAGCAGCAUUAUUAUUGAUUUGACUUACUUUCACCAUGAAUGGCAAUGCAUCCGAGAAGCAGCAACGAAAUCAACACUAGUGCCCCAAUGUUCCUUGACUGCCUCUCCAUACUGUAGACAACGAAAUGCUUUUUGUUCUUGGGAGAAUAUAUAUGUUCUGCUCGAGUGAUAUACAGU